GAAACAGGUGCUAAUACCGUAUAACACUAUUUUCCGCAUGGAAGAAAGUUGAAAGGCGCUUUUGCGUCACUGAUGGAUGGACCCGCGGUGCAUUAGCUAGUUGGUGAGGUAACGGCUCACCAAGGCCACGAUGCAUAGCCGACCUGAGAGGGUGAUCGGCCACACUGGGACUGAGACACGGCCCAGACUCCUACGGGAGGCAGCAGUAGGGAAUCUUCGGCAAUGGACGAAAGUCUGACCGAGCAACGCCGCGUGAGUGAAGAAGGUUUUCGGAUCGUAAAACUCUGUUGUUAGAGAAGAACAAGGAUGAGAGUAAAAUGUUCAUCCCUUGACGGUAUCUAACCAGAAAGCCACGGCUAACUACGUGCCAGCAGCCGCGGUAAUACGUAGGUGGCAAGCGUUGUCCGGAUUUAUUGGGCGUAAAGCGAGCGCAGGCGGUUUCUUAAGUCUGAUGUGAAAGCCCCCGGCUCAACCGGGGAGGGUCAUUGGAAACUGGGAGACUUGAGUGCAGAAGAGGAGAGUGGAAUUCCAUGUGUAGCGGUGAAAUGCGUAGAUAUAUGGAGGAACACCAGUGGCGAAGGCGGCUCUCUGGUCUGUAACUGACGCUGAGGCUCGAAAGCGUGGGGAGCGAACAGGAUUAGAUACCCUGGUAGUCC
Molecule: ribosomal RNA, 656 nt
Filed under: uncultured bacterium
Lineage: Bacteria
Description: bacterial SSU rRNA
Rfam family: Bacterial small subunit ribosomal RNA
Source: RNAcentral